This 395-nucleotide transfer RNA is filed under the name uncultured Pelagibacterales bacterium. RNAcentral's name for it is "partial 16S-23S ribosomal RNA intergenic spacer". The stretch from base 107 to 180 matches the Rfam family "tRNA". Lineage: Bacteria; Pseudomonadati; Pseudomonadota; Alphaproteobacteria; Candidatus Pelagibacterales. The record is from RNAcentral.
CCUCCUUUCUAAGGAUGAGUGAAAGUAAAAUUUCACUCUAAAUAAUAUACAUCGGUAAUGUUGACCGUCCUCAUUUCUCUUCUUAAAGUAAUGUUUCCUUCUUGUAGGGCCGGUAGCUCAGUUGGUUAGAGCACACCCUUGAUAAGGGUGGGGUCGAAAGUUCGAGUCUUUCUCGGCCCACCAAAAACCUAAAUGGGGGAUUAGCUCAUCUGGGAGAGCGCCUGAUUUGCAUUCAGGAGGUAGCAGGUUCGAUCCCUGUAUCCUCCACCAGGAAACAUUUAGUUAUUAAAACUGUAAAUAAAAAUAAUUUAUAUCAAUAUCUAUAUCCGAACAUUAAAAGUUAUUAUUUAAUGUUCAAAAUAAAAAUUUGAUCACAACAUAGAUNAAUUUUCUGU